RNAcentral lists this ribosomal RNA (460 nucleotides) under uncultured bacterium. RNAcentral's name for it is "partial 16S ribosomal RNA". It matches the Rfam family "Bacterial small subunit ribosomal RNA", at positions 338 to 795 of the family's 1533-position model. The record is from RNAcentral.
CCUACGGGUGGCUGCAGUGAGGAAUAUUGGUCAAUGGACGAAAGUCUGAACCAGCCAAGCAGCGUGAAGGAUGACUGCCCUAUGAGUUGUAAACUUCUUUUAUAUGAGAGUAAAAUGUUCCACGUGUGGGAUUUUGUAUGUACCAUAUGAAUAAGGAUCGGCUAACUCCGUGCCAGCAGCCGCGGUAAUACGGAGGAUCCAAGCGUUAUCCGGAUUUAUUGGGUUUAAAGGGAGCGUAGGCGGAUUGUUAAGUCAGUUGUGAAAGUUCGCGGCUCAACCUUAAAAUUGCAGUUGAAACUGGCAGUCUUGAGUACAGUAGAGGUGGGCGGAAUGCGUGGUGUAGCGGUGAAAUGCUUAGAUAUCACGAAGAACUCCGAUUGCGAAGGCAGCUCACUGGACUGCAACUGACACUGAGGCUCGAAAGUGUGGGUAUCAAACAGGAUUAGAUACCCGGGUAGUC